UUAAGCGACUAAGCGUACACGGUGGAUGCCCUGGCAGUCAGAGGCGAUGAAGGACGUGCUAAUCUGCGAUAAGCGUCGGUAAGGUGAUAUGAACCGUUAUAACCGGCGAUUUCCGAAUGGGGAAACCCAGUGUGUUUCGACACACUAUCAUUAACUGAAUCCAUAGGUUAAUGAGGCGAACCGGGGGAACUGAAACAUCUAAGUACCCCGAGGAAAAGAAAUCAACCGAGAUUCCCCCAGUAGCGGCGAGCGAACGGGGAGCAGCCCAGAGCCUGAAUCAGUGUGUGUGUUAGUGGAAGCGUCUGGAAAGGCGCGCGAUACAGGGUGACAGCCCCGUACACAAAAAUGCACAUAUUGUGAGCUCGAUGAGUAGGGCGGGACACGUGGUAUCCUGUCUGAAUAUGGGGGGACCAUCCUCCAAGGCUAAAUACUCCUGACUGACCGAUAGUGAACCAGUACCGUGAGGGAAAGGCGAAAAGAACCCCGGCGAGGGGAGUGAAAAAGAACCUGAAACCGUGUACGUACAAGCAGUGGGAGCACGCUUAGGCGUGUGACUGCGUACCUUUUGUAUAAUGGGUCAGCGACUUAUAUUCUGUAGCAAGGUUAACCGAAUAGGGGAGCCGAAGGGAAACCGAGUCUUAACUGGGCGUUAAGUUGCAGGGUAUAGACCCGAAACCCGGUGAUCUAGCCAUGGGCAGGUUGAAGGUUGGGUAACACUAACUGGAGGACCGAACCGACUAAUGUUGAAAAAUUAGCGGAUGACUUGUGGCUGGGGGUGAAAGGCCAAUCAAACCGGGAGAUAGCUGGUUCUCCCCGAAAGCUAUUUAGGUAGCGCCUCGUGAAUUCAUCUCCGGGGGUAGAGCACUGUUUCGGCAAGGGGGUCAUCCCGACUUACCAACCCGAUGCAAACUGCGAAUACCGGAGAAUGUUAUCACGGGAGACACACGGCGGGUGCUAACGUCCGUCGUGAAGAGGGAAACAACCCAGACCGCCAGCUAAGGUCCCAAAGUCAUGGUUAAGUGGGAAACGAUGUGGGAAGGCCCAGACAGCCAGGAUGUUGGCUUAGAAGCAGCCAUCAUUUAAAGAAAGCGUAAUAGCUCACUGGUCGAGUCGGCCUGCGCGGAAGAUGUAACGGGGCUAAACCAUGCACCGAAGCUGCGGCAGCGACGCUGAUGCGUUGUUGGGUAGGGGAGCGUUCUGUAAGCCUGUGAAGGUGUGCUGUGAGGCAUGCUGGAGGUAUCAGAAGUGCGAAUGCUGACAUAAGUAACGAUAAAGCGGGUGAAAAGCCCGCUCGCCGGAAGACCAAGGGUUCCUGUCCAACGUUAAUCGGGGCAGGGUGAGUCGACCCCUAAGGCGAGGCCGAAAGGCGUAGUCGAUGGGAAACAGGUUAAUAUUCCUGUACUUGGUGUUACUGCGAAGGGGGGACGGAGAAGGCUAUGUUGGCCGGGCGACGGUUGUCCCGGUUUAAGCGUGUAGGCUGGUUUUCCAGGCAAAUCCGGAAAAUCAAGGCUGAGGCGUGAUGACGAGGCACUACGGUGCUGAAGCAACAAAUGCCCUGCUUCCAGGAAAAGCCUCUAAGCAUCAGGUAACAUCAAAUCGUACCCCAAACCGACACAGGUGGUCAGGUAGAGAAUACCAAGGCGCUUGAGAGAACUCGGGUGAAGGAACUAGGCAAAAUGGUGCCGUAACUUCGGGAGAAGGCACGCUGAUAUGUAGGUGAAGCGACUUGCUCGUGGAGCUGAAAUCAGUCGAAGAUACCAGCUGGCUGCAACUGUUUAUUAAAAACACAGCACUGUGCAAACACGAAAGUGGACGUAUACGGUGUGACGCCUGCCCGGUGCCGGAAGGUUAAUUGAUGGGGUUAGCGCAAGCGAAGCUCUUGAUCGAAGCCCCGGUAAACGGCGGCCGUAACUAUAACGGUCCUAAGGUAGCGAAAUUCCUUGUCGGGUAAGUUCCGACCUGCACGAAUGGCGUAAUGAUGGCCAGGCUGUCUCCACCCGAGACUCAGUGAAAUUGAACUCGCUGUGAAGAUGCAGUGUACCCGCGGCAAGACGGAAAGACCCCGUGAACCUUUACUAUAGCUUGACACUGAACAUUGAGCCUUGAUGUGUAGGAUAGGUGGGAGGCUUAGAAGUGUGGACGCCAGUCUGCAUGGAGCCGACCUUGAAAUACCACCCUUUAAUGUUUGAUGUUCUAACGUUGACCCGUAAUCCGGGUUGCGGACAGUGUCUGGUGGGUAGUUUGACUGGGGCGGUCUCCUCCUAAAGAGUAACGGAGGAGCACGAAGGUUGGCUAAUCCUGGUCGGACAUCAGGAGGUUAGUGCAAUGGCAUAAGCCAGCUUGACUGCGAGCGUGACGGCGCGAGCAGGUGCGAAAGCAGGUCAUAGUGAUCCGGUGGUUCUGAAUGGAAGGGCCAUCGCUCAACGGAUAAAAGGUACUCCGGGGAUAACAGGCUGAUACCGCCCAAGAGUUCAUAUCGACGGCGGUGUUUGGCACCUCGAUGUCGGCUCAUCACAUCCUGGGGCUGAAGUAGGUCCCAAGGGUAUGGCUGUUCGCCAUUUAAAGUGGUACGCGAGCUGGGUUUAGAACGUCGUGAGACAGUUCGGUCCCUAUCUGCCGUGGGCGCUGGAGAACUGAGGGGGGCUGCUCCUAGUACGAGAGGACCGGAGUGGACGCAUCACUGGUGUUCGGGUUGUCAUGCCAAUGGCACUGCCCGGUAGCUAAAUGCGGAAGAGAUAAGUGCUGAAAGCAUCUAAGCACGAAACUUGCCCCGAGAUGAGUUCUCCCUGACUCCUUGAGAGUCCUGAAGGAACGUUGAAGACGACGACGUUGAUAGGCCGGGUGUGUAAGCGCAGCGAUGCGUUGAGCUAACCGGUACUAAUGAACCGUGAGGCUUAACCUU
This 2902-nucleotide ribosomal RNA is filed under the name Escherichia coli KTE233. Its description in RNAcentral is "bacterial LSU rRNA". It matches the Rfam family "Bacterial large subunit ribosomal RNA". The record is from RNAcentral. Lineage: Bacteria; Pseudomonadati; Pseudomonadota; Gammaproteobacteria; Enterobacterales; Enterobacteriaceae.